UUCGGCCUCGCUGCAUUUUCUAUGCAGCCCUCUGCACGCCGUCGCCGAUUCAUUCCUAUACGAACUCGUUCGCGAUCCUGUCGCCUUCUCUGCGGCGCGGC
Molecule: non-coding RNA, 101 nt
Filed under: Ectopseudomonas oleovorans
Lineage: Bacteria; Pseudomonadati; Pseudomonadota; Gammaproteobacteria; Pseudomonadales; Pseudomonadaceae
Also listed under: 1 other name
Description: Pseudomonas oleovorans Pseudomon-Rho
Rfam family: Pseudomon-Rho RNA
Source: RNAcentral